AGCAGCCGCGGUAAUUCCAGCUCCAAUAGCGUAUAUUAAAGUUGUUGCAGUUAAAAAGCUCGUAGUUGAAUUUCGGAAUCAAUAUAUCGGUCGUGCCUUGGUACGUACUGGUAUCAUUGGUUUCUCCUUUCUGACGAACCAUGAUGUCAUUAAUUUGGUGUUAUGGGAAGUUAGGACUGUUACUUUGAAAAAUUAGAGUGUUUAAAGCAGGCUUUAGCUUGAAUACAUUAGCAUGGAAUAAUGAAAUAGGACGUUCGAACCUAUUUUGUUGGUUUCUAGGAUCAACGUAAUGAUUAAUAGGGAUAGUUGGGGGCAUUAGUAUUCAAUUGUCAGAGGUGAAAUUCUUGGAUUUAUUGAAGACUAACUACUGCGAAAGCAUUUGCCAAGGAUGUUUUCAUUAAUCAAGAACGAAAGUUAGGGGAUCGAAGACGAUCAGAUACCGUCGUAGUCUUAACCAUAAACUAUGCCGACUAGGGAUCGGAUGAUGUAAUUUUUAAUGUACUCA
This 505-nucleotide ribosomal RNA is filed under the name uncultured Glomeraceae. RNAcentral's name for it is "SSU rRNA". It matches the Rfam family "Eukaryotic small subunit ribosomal RNA", at positions 569 to 1078 of the family's 1831-position model. The record is from RNAcentral. Lineage: Eukaryota; Fungi; Glomeromycota; Glomeromycetes; Glomerales; Glomeraceae.